Molecule: non-coding RNA, 368 nt
Organism: Camellia sinensis
Lineage: Eukaryota; Viridiplantae; Streptophyta; Magnoliopsida; Ericales; Theaceae
Source: RefSeq, a predicted model, not a curated record
UUAUUAUAAACUUAUUACUAUCUGAUAGAAGCAUGUUAAAAUAUUUUUUUUCUGGCUUUUUCUGCAAUUUCAAAGCCUCAGAAAUGACUAAUUUAUUUAAAUUGUUCUUCCAGGUACAAAACCUUCUUCAAUAGAUGGAAUCCAGACCAGUGAAGAUUACAGAUUCUAUGCUAUAUCAACUGGGUUAAGUGAAUUGAGUAUCAAGGACAAGACAUUAAAUUAAAUCAAAACUCAUGGGGUUUGUCUUAAUGUUUUUCCUGUUAUUUUUUGGCGAAUGUUAAAACAUAAUUUGUGGAUAUGUUAUUUUGUAGUUAAUGGUAAUUGUAUAUUAAAUUGAAUGGGAAAGUGAAUUAAUGUUGUAUUUGCUA